Molecule: ribosomal RNA, 253 nt
Filed under: uncultured bacterium
Lineage: Bacteria
Description: partial 16S ribosomal RNA
Rfam family: Bacterial small subunit ribosomal RNA
Source: RNAcentral
GACGAACCGUGCAAACGUUGUUCGGAAUCACUGGGCUUAAAGGGCGCGUAGGCGGAUCAUCAAGUCCGGGGUGAAAUCUUUCGGCUUAACCGGAAAAGUGCCUUGGAUACUGGUGGUCUCGAGUGAGGUAGGGGCAUGUGGAACUUCUGGUGGAGCGGUGAAAUGCGUUGAUAUCAGAAGGAACUCCGGUGGCGAAAGCGACGUGCUGGACCUCUUCUGACGCUGAGGCGCGAAAGCUAGGGGAGCGAACGGG